GUAAAUAAAUGUGUGAUAAAAUAAAAUAUACCGAAAUAUACAAGUGCUAAUGAAAUAUAAUCGGUGACACUUAAGUUAACGCCCCGAUGAAAAGGGUGUAAAUAGAAAACACAUGUGAAAUUCAAUAUGGAAAAUGGUUUAGUUCGCCGCACUUACAAUGUAUGUAUGUAUGCGAGCGGAAUGGAAAACUUUCUAAACGGAAGUCGCAUAUAAAGCUAAUAUUUGGUUGAAUUAGUUCAUUCAUGUUUGCUAUUGUACUCAUGCAUAGUGCAGUAAAUGUAUUUUUAACGAUUGUUUCACGUGCUAAAAAUAACAAUUAUUGGUUUUGCCGUGCAAUGCAACGUGCGUGCGUGUGUGUGUGUGUCUGUGAGUAUAUGAAAAUAUUCUAUAUGCGCUAUGUGCGUUGAUAAGAGUUGCACAAUUGGAGCCGAUUUGCUGGCGACCUCCGGUAUGACCCGGCGCCAUUGCCCCGUCUGUUGAUUAAUCGGCGGGCAAUCAGUGAGUACGUGAGGCGCCUAGGUGCAUUGAGAUUUGCCUUUGGACGAGCGACAGCUGAUCAGCAGAGCACCUCAAGUCAGUUGGGAGCAGCAAGCAGCGCAACACACGAUUCACGUGUUCCACUGAACAAGGCAGGAAAACGAAAACAACAUAAACCAGAAGCCAAACAGCAAAUGUUACAAAACAUCAUUAAAAAAUGUAAUCUUCAAAUACCCUGUAUUGAUCGCACUGAGGGUGCGAUAUGAUGUGUUAUUCAUAUCAACCAAACAUUCUUAAUAGCUCUGGUUAAGAUUGUCAUUGGAUAAGAAGUAAUCUGGACCAUCUACGCAACAUCAGAGGAGAAAGCGAUCGCAUGCUAUAUAUAGAUGUUAUCCAAGAAAGAUCACUUUUAGCUGACAUACAGGGAAGUUCUCAACAAGUCACCGAAGCUGAAAUACACUUACAAUAAAAAUACAACAAGCCUGCAAAAGCAUACUUGAUUAAUAAAUAUUGAUCCUGAUUGAAUGAUGGAAAGCUUACGAAAACUUAAAUGACCAUGCGGCGAGCGGACAGAGACCAGCUGAGAGAUGGGAGCUAUAGAGGCCAAGCAAACUAUUAUUAUUAUGAGCUCAAGUUUUGAAGUUCGUUUGGCAGCUGCUCAAUCAAAUCAAAUAUUUGGGGUAACUAAACACAAACCUUUUUGACAUUCACCCCCUCUUGCCGUUACCAUUGUCGUCAUCGUGUCGAAGAUGUAUAUAUUUUCAAAGUGCGCAAAAAUCAAACUCAAUUACGUGCGCUGUCAAUCAGCGGCAGGAAUCGAAUUGGGAAUCGGUCAAAGACAUGCGUAAGAGUAUGUCAGUGCGCAAGUUGCGUGGCCACUGGUCACUGGCGUAUGUAUCUUAAAGAUACAUUUCGCUUAAGUGUAGAGCAUACAUCAUCCAUUCAACUAAGUCCACAUAUGUACAUUUAUAGAUUCAUUGCACGCGUAAGACAGCAGACAGAUAUUUUAGAAUCAUUCCCAGAUGGCGAUGUGCGUUGACCCUGAGACAAACGCCCACGCAAUGCGCAAAUAUAAACUAAUGUAUAUAUACAAUAUAUGUUUGUAUGUAUAAAGAAAGAGAGAAGGAAACUGUGUAUGUCUGUGUGCGUGUGUGGAGAGCUAGACCAUAGGGCAUGCAAAUUAGAGGCACCGACUUGCAAAUAUAUUCUUAUAAAUAUCAAGAUGGCAAAGACUUCAAAUAAAACACUUGAGGAAUCGACUUUGAUAUACACCAUUAUACGAAACGAUCCACUAGAUGCUGUCUUAUCAGAAUCCAUUGAUGAGUUAAUUACGACCAAUGUCUGCCUAGCACAAAAUUCACAUUAAAGUAAUGUACCCUCAGUACCCCAUGGAUUUUCAUAUUGUUCAUAUAAAAUUGCAAUAUAAAAUAAUAUGUGUGUUAAAUGUGAGUGAUUGCUAAAUACUCUUUCCUGCAGAUCGACAAGGUUUGUCAAUGCUUUGAACUGUCCGGCUACUGCAGAAAGAAACUAUUCUAUGCUGGACGAGAAUACGCAUUUAUAAAAUAAAAUGAUUGCAAGUUUUAGUUCAAAUUGGAUUUGGAGACUUAGUUUAGAAGUUAUAUUUAGAUGCCAAUAUAAAGAGAGGCAAUAUUAAUGAACUUAUUCCAUCCAAGAGGCUUGAGGUGUGAGGAGGUGUGAGGCACCUCUCAAAGAUCCUUGAAGUGAUCUCGAUGCUGGUCGGACGGUAAGCAAAAUAUUUUCAUAUAUAUAUCAAAAAGCUAGCUUUAUAGUAUAAAAAGGGGCAGAAACUAUAAUCAAAACGCUCCAUCGAAAUAGAGUCGAAGGAAGAUUUUCGAAUUAAAUGUGUUUUAGUUCAAUUAAAUGUCACACUAAACUAGAUCAUAUACUCAACAUAUUCAAACCUAUUAAUACUUAACAUCAGCACAUCUGAACAGUGUAAGUAUUAAGGUAAAGUUGUAAGUAGCAGUAAACAGUAUAGUAGUAUUGGACCAUUGUUCUACAGUUGUAACUCAGUCUACCUUUCAUUUGUAAUACAUUCACAAUCGAUCACUGACAAGUCUUUUUAUGCAUAAUCAACUAUGUCAUCGGUUGUUGCCUUUGUACAUUCUUAUAAUAAGUUAAAUAGCUCUGUUGGAAAUUAAACAGCUAACUAUGCAGUUGUGCCUUUUCUGGAAAAUAACCGCCUCUUUUGUCAAAGACUCUACAAUCACCUCUAAGCCGGACCUGGCAGUUAAUAUUUAUAUUUAGCUAGUUAAGCUAUACAAAUUAUAGCGCGAAUUGCGAUUAGACGCUUAGCUAGGGAGUUAUUGAUCAUAUACAAAUGUAUAUGUUGAAUUUUUGAAAAUUUAAAUAACAAUUUAAAAAGGGGCGCAAACUGUAAUGAGACAAGUCAAAAUUAAAAUCAGAGAAACAUCACGGACUAAAAUAAAUUUUAGUUGUAUUACAAAUAUCAGUCUAGCUUUGAUGCUCGACCUAGGCUAGUUUUUAACAAAUGUAUGGAUAUCUCCAAGUCUAUCAAUUGCUAGAGAACAUUUUCCUGUUUUUGUUGUGCUUGCGACUGCAUGUUUAUAAAUCAUUAUGACAAUUUGCUGGCGCUACCGUAGCUAGAGACUGUGCCCCUUGCGACUGGCUAACCCCGCUUGCAUUAUGCAAGAAACUGGCGAAGAGCUCACAAUAUAAUUAAAAUGCGCGUCAAAUGCUUAAAGUCGAUAGUUCAAGGCAGCUGAAGGUGUAAACCUCAGCUGUUUUUGGUUUCUUUAGGCGGAAUUCACGCCGAAGAGGCAGAGUAUGGCAGCUGCAGCCAACAGCUGUGCCUAUCGUCAAUGAUGAUCAAUUGAAGCCACAGCUAAGUGGCAAGUGGCAAGUGGCAAGUGGCAAGGUGUGUGUAUGUGUGUUGGUGUGUGUUAAAGUUGUCGGCUUAUCGAGUACCAUAUGCAAUUCUAUGGAAUAAGCCCAUUUCACAUACCAUAAACAAGAGCUUAAACUUAAGCAAUCAGACAUAAGCCGCUCACAUCAGUUUCUGCUUGGCCGUCUGCAAUUGGAGAGCUGCUCCGUUCACAGCCAAAAUCGCAUUCGCGAACUCUUGCUGCUGACAAAGCGCAGAAUCGACACAUAUGCAACAACAACAACAUUUUCGGCUGGCUCUUUUAUUUCUAAUAUGUCUUGGCAUUAAAUGCAUAUUCAUAAAUUUGUUAA
Molecule: long non-coding RNA, 3693 nt
Organism: Drosophila novamexicana
Lineage: Eukaryota; Metazoa; Arthropoda; Insecta; Diptera; Drosophilidae
Exons: 4
Source: RefSeq, a predicted model, not a curated record